RNAcentral lists this ribosomal RNA (459 nucleotides) under uncultured bacterium. RNAcentral describes it as "partial 16S ribosomal RNA". It matches the Rfam family "Bacterial small subunit ribosomal RNA", at positions 338 to 795 of the family's 1533-position model. The record is from RNAcentral.
CCUACGGGAGACAGCAGUGAGGAAUAUUGGUCAAUGGGCGGAAGCCUGAACCAGCCAAGUAGCGUGUGGGAUGAAGGCCCUACGGGUCGUAAACCGCUUUUGCACGGGGAUAACACCCUCCACUUGUGGAGGUCUGCAGGUACCGUGCGAAUAAGGGCAGGCUAAUUCCGUGCCAGCAGCCGCGGUAAUACGGAAGGCCCGAGCGUUAUCCGGAUUCAUUGGGCUUAAAGGGAGCGUAGGCGGGCGUUCAAGUCAGCUGUAAAAUCGCGCGGCUCAACCGCGCCCCGCAGUUGAAACUGGACGCAUUGAGUUCACAACAGGCAGGCGGAAUUCGUGGUGUAGCGGUGAAAUGCAUAGAUAUCACGAGGAACCCCGAUUGCGAAGGCAGCCUGCCGGGGUGCGACUGACGCUGAGGCUCGAAGGUGCGGGUAUCAAACAGGAUUAGAUACCCUUGUAGUC